RNAcentral lists this long non-coding RNA (479 nucleotides) under Rattus norvegicus (Norway rat). RNAcentral describes it as "long non-coding RNA NONRATT033824". The record is from RNAcentral. Lineage: Eukaryota; Metazoa; Chordata; Mammalia; Rodentia; Muridae.
CCUCUAAUAGGGAGCUUUAGAUCAUGUCCAUCUAAUUAUGGCCACUAAGAAAAUACAGAUGUGACCAAAGGCACUUCACUUAAUUAUGAUCUAUGUUAGUAAAUUGUGAAACUUUCAUUAUUUGUCCUAUAUACCAUCCUUCAUGCUUAUAACCAUUGUCGAUGAUUAGCUUCAAGAGGAUUUAGAGACUGAAAAUCAUGACUGCUGAAUAAUACUAAUGCUUGGAUCCCUGACAGGCCUCCCAUGGUGUAACUGAAGAUACGAUAUGUGAAGUAGCCCUAGCUUGCCUGCUCAAGUGGACAAGAGCACUUUCACCAAAGGCCCACAUUGGCCUGAAAUAUCUUAUUUUGCCCAAGGCGUACUCAUGCCUGCACUCUCUUGUGGCCAUCAUUAGCACUUCUUCUCUUGAUUUUGUGAGCCUGCUAUAUCCCAACUCUUUAGGAUUACAUACAAACUUAUUUCUGCUACAUGUAUUCUGA